GUUUAUUUCUCUUCAAUGUAAUGCUUCAGACAUUAAUUAAGCACUGGUUAUUUUCUGGAUGCUGAAUGACACAAAGAUGGACAAGGUCCAGCUCUUAUCCUCCAGCAGCUUAACCUCCUGGGGGACCAGACUCACACUGCAAUGACCGUAAUUCAGGGCGGAAUGUGAUGGGUUAGAGCCGGGGUGAAGACUAAAUGCUCCGAGAGCACAGAGGAGGGAGCAGUCCCUCUGAGCUGGGCGGAUCUGGGAAAGCUUUAUGAAGGUGGUGGCGUUGGGCCUGGUCUUCAAGGAUGCCCAGUCCUUCCAUAAUUUGGGAUGGGAACCUGGAGAACAUCGGAAGGGAGAAGGGCGAGUGGAGAAAACUACACGGCAAAGGUGGAAAAAAGAGCAUGCGAAGGGGACUGCAAGAGGUUUGGACCCAGUUCUAAUUCAUGAAAGAGAAAGGGCUUUUUUUUUUUAUUGAGUUCAUAAUAGUUUACAUCAUUGUGAAGUUUCAGUUGUACAUUAUUUCUUGUCUGUCACCGUAUAACUGUCCCCCUUCACCCCCUGUGCCCACCCCUCUCCCCCCUUCCCCUGGGAACCACUGAACUGUUCUCUUUGUCCUAUGUUUGUUUAUCUUCCACAUAUGAGUGAAAUCAUCUGGUGUUUCUUCCCAGCCUGUCUUAUUUUGCUUAGUAUAAUACCCUCCAGGUCCAUCCAUGUUGUUGCAAAUGGGAUGAUUUUGUCUUUUUUAUGGCUGAGUAGUAUUCCAUUGUAUAUGUAUACACCACAUCUUUAUCCAACCGUUGGUCCAUGGUCACUUGGGUUGCGUCCGUGUCUUGGCUAUUGUGAAUAGUGCUGCAAGGAACAUAGUGGUACACAGGUCACUUUGGAUUCUUGAUUUCAAGUUGUUUGGAUAGAUACCCAGUAGUGGGAUAGCUGGGUCAUACGGUAUUUCUAUUUUUAGUUUUUUGAGGAGAAAGGGCUUUUCUCUUUGAAAGUGACUUCUCUGGGUCUGCAUACCAAGAAUGAACCCACUCUGCUUGGCCAACAUUGUAGGGUACUGGUAAGUAAAAAAAGCUUGUUAAUGGGUCCUGUCCAGCUCCAAGUAUAGUUGGCAUUCAGAACGUCAACUGAUUUAAAGGAAAUACUUCAUCACAACAUGUCUGUCUGCUUUCAAUGGGGAGCUUUCUCCCCUAGUUCACCUGUGAUGCCCUUUGUGGUACCUGGCUUUACGUGGGGGCUCUGAGCUAGCAGAUGCAAGACAUCUGCCUUCCUAGGCCGAGGCCCAGAAACCCAAGCUUGGACUAUCAGGAGUUGGCACGCGCCCCCCAGCCACCCCCCGACUUUAAUGCUGGUUCACCUCUCUAGAGUGGGCUCUCCAUUUGCUCUUGGCCACAGCCUAUUUUAUUUCUGGAAAACUGAGUCAUUCAUUUAAAAGGGUGUGUUAGAAUAUUUUAUCCAGCACCGUUAGGGGUUUGGUUGAGGAAGGAUUCCAGGAUACCUAAUCUGCCACGUAGAUGACAUCGUUUCAAGAAGGGCACGUUGAUCGUGAAUUCCCUGGUCUUACACACUUGCAACUGCCAGUCUGUUGUCUCCAAGCCUGAGGGAUGCCUGGCUGGGUUCUAGAUUCUUCUGUUUCAGGCUCUUUACCUGAGACAUUUGUGGACGUUGCUCCACUGUCAUAUAGUGGUUAUGAGAGAAGUCUGAGGCUGGCCUAAUUUAUUUCCCCUGACCCUUGAAUUGCUUGUAUUCUGCCUGGAAACCUGUCAGAUUCUUUCUUUCUACUUGAAGUUCAGUGACUUCACCAAGACAUAGUCCAGUGUUGAUUAUUCUCUAUCAAAAUUUCCUGGAAUAUUGCUAUGGUCUGAUUGUUUGUCUCCCCUCAAAGUUCACGUUCAAACUUCAAUUCUAAAUACUGAAGCCCAGUGUGAUGGUAUCAGGAGGUGGGCCUGUGGGAGGCCAUCAGGUCAUGUGAGUGGAGCCCUCGUGAAUGGGACUGGCGCUCUUACAAAAGGGCCCCAGAGAGCUAGCUUGCUCCUCUGUGCCACGGGAGGAUACAAGAUAUCUGUGACCUGGAAGAGGCCCCCGCCCGGCCUCGCUGGCCCCCUGACCUUGGACUUUCAGCCUCCAGAACUGUGAGCAAUAAAUUUCCGUUGUCUAUAAGCCGCUUGGUCUAGGGUAAUUUUUGUUAUAGUAGUCCAAAUGGACUAAGGCAAAUACAAUAUCUCUUUGGAUCCCAAGAUUUAAUUCUUCUUUUUAAUUUCAGGGACAUUGCCUUGAUGUGUUUUCUGCUGCCUUUGUCCUAUGCUUUAUCUCCUUUUCUUCCAUAAUUAUUAUCUUCUCUAUAAUUAUUUUUUUAAACUUUGUUCUUUUCGAUUCCAUUUUGUGAUUUUCUCAAGCUCUCUGAUCCUGAUUCUUCUUAAAUUGGGUUUAUUAUUGUGUCAGAUAUGGUUUGUUGGUUCUCACCCAUUCCCACUCUUCCUACGCCUGGAUUUCAGGGAGCUGGAAGCCUGAAAGCUGCAUUUCCCAGACUCCCUUGUCAGCUGCUUUUUGGUUGGCUUCUGCCAAUGGGAAGCACUGGUGGGAGCUGGGAAGGUGGGUGCAAGGGAGAAGCCAUUUUUGCCACUUCUGGCUGUAGGCUUGCAGGUGACUGACUGCACACUGUAGCAGCUUUGGUACUACCAGCCAUGGUAACAGGGUGGUUUUGGUUCAGAGGCAGUCAUGGUGCCUCCACUGGUCAACAGUGAGUGUGGCUCACGGGCUCCGGCUCUGGGUUACAGCCCAUCUCCUUUUUGUUUUCCCAGCCUUUCCAACACUUUGUAUCAGAUUACCUGCAUUACUUCCCUCUCUGCUUUAAAUAUGUAGAGUGAUUUCAGGUUUUCCUAAUUGAGCAUUUGACUGCUACAGUUACCAUCAUAAUCAUCAUCCUUUGUUUCUUGUGGCUUUCACCUCUGAACGUUUUAUUUUUCUCUUCCGUUUCUUUUCUUAGCUCUGCCAGUUUACUGUUCAUCUUGUGUCAUUUUUUCUUUAAAUCUUUGUAUCUUUCCUUUGAGCUCUUUUUGUCUUGUUGAGAGAGAACUAUGGGUCUCAGUUCUUGAUGUGUUCUUUGUGUAAUUUGCCUUACAACAAAUGUUCUGUAUCUGCCUUAUUUUUCUGUUUUUUUCCCUCCUUUUGUUUUAGUUUCUAGGCACAGAUCCCUAUGGUACAGUGGUUCUCAAACUUUGGCAUGCAUCAGAAUCACCUGGAGGGCUUAUGAAAAUGCAAAUUCAUGGGUCCCAUCCCCAGAGUUUCUUAUUCAAUAGAUCUGGGGAAGAUUUUCCCUGAGCUAACAUCUGUUGCCAAUCUUCCUCUAUUUUAUAUGUGGGUUGCCACCACAACAUGGCUGCCAACGAGUGGUACAAAUCCAUGCCCAGGAACGGAACCCAAGUGCACUGAACUUAGCCACUAGGCCACGGGGCCAGCCCCAAGGGAAUUUGCCUUUAUAGCAGGUUCUCAGAGGAGGCUGAUGUGGCUGUUCCAGGAAUCACACUUUGAGAACCACUGUUAUCAUGGAUGCUGUUGGUGUUCUGCCCAGAUCCCUUUUACAAGCCAAUGCACUCAUCUGCCAGCUGCUGUGAAUGUUGGCUGCUGACGGCUCAUAGAUGCCCCUUCUCCUGAGAAUUGCCCUAAAUGACAUUACCCAAAAGUGCCUGAGAAGUUAUGUUCCCUGAGGGUGGCCCAUGGUGAGUGAUUGAUGGGUUGGGGAGUGCAAAGUCCUGGUACUUUGCCUCAAGUCGGGGAGUAUACCUCCUAGUGCCAUUCAUGCUCCAGAGCUCCCUAUGAGGUCAGGCUAGACUUCAGGGAAGCCAUAUCUUUGAUUACGUUUCGGCCCUGCCCUGUCCUGCUUCCUGAGAACACUCCCUUAAUAAAAUCACUGUUGGAAGAAUUCCUGUCUCAGGCUAUGUGUCUAGAGAACCUGACCUAAAGCGGCCCCUUCUGGGGCUUUUCUGAUUGCUCUUCUCUGAUGGGGCUGGUUAUUUGCUGAGACAUAGUGUAGAAGGAUGGGGAGUAAGCUGGGCAAUCUCAACUUUGAUUUGGAUUAGUUGUCUUGAAUAUCCUCUUAUUAAGUCCUUCCUUUGCAAUGGGGUUUCUAGAAAUCCCCUUUGGUCACACUCUCUGUGCUUUGACUGCCUUUUCACCACUUGGUAUGGAUUGAAUUUUGUCUGUGUCCCUCCAAAUUCAUAUGUUGAAGCCCUAGGCUCCCAUGUGACUGUAUUUGGAGAUGGGGCCUAUAAGGAAGUAAUUAAGGUUAAAUGAGGUCACAAGAGUAGGGCCCUGAUACCAUAGGAUUAGUGUCCUUAUAGGAAGAGACACCAGAGAACUGGCUCACCUCUCCCUCCCUCCCCCCAGCCCCCCUUCCCCUCUCUCCCUGUAUAUGCACAAAGAAGAAGUCAUGUGAGCACAUGGUGAGAUAGUGGCCGCCUACAAACCGGGAAGAGAGAGUCUCACCAGACACCAAGCAUGCUGCCCCCUGACCUUGGACUUUUGGCCUCCAGAACUGUGAGAAAAUAAACGUCUGUUUAAGCCACUCAGUCUACGGCGUUUUGUUAAGGCAGCCUGAGCCGUCUAAGACCCUUCCUUCACCAUGCUUUACCUCCAGCAGCCUCCUCUAGCGUGUCUUGCCAUGUUUCUCCUUCAGCUCCAUCUCCCUGCCGUUUCAAGUUAUUAACCUGAGCCCUACGGGGACAUUCUCCAUCCUCCUGAAGGUGCCUACAGACCGAGAGCGCUUCAGUUUAAUCAAGAGAUUGUUGGAUAAGCCUUCCAUAUCUGUGUCACGUGAAGAAAGUCUCCAGCUCUGGGAGAGCAUGUCAGUUCUCAGCUUCCUCCUUCACCGAAUCCUAAUUUCACAGUAUUUAAAUUCUGAGACCAUCAUGUGAAGAAGCCUGGGCUGUAGCACCUACUGAAGGAUGAGAAACCACUUAGAGCAGAGAUGAGUCCCAACUGAGACCACCUAGACCAACCAACCUCCAAGCCAUCAGACACGUGAGAGAAGUCAUCCUCAACAAUCUAAACCUCAGCCGAGUUGCCAGCUCACCAAAGAGAUCAGCCAAGCAGGCACAAACUGGAAAAAACUGCCAGCAGAUCCACCAAAUUGUGAGCAAGUGAAAUUGUUGUUUGAGGCCAGUGGCCUAUAACAGAGCAACAAUUGAUAUACUGGUUCAUCUACUUUUGGUAAAUUAGUAGAUUCAGGUGGUAACAGCCUGAUCCCUUCAUUAUAAAGUUCCCCGUCAAUCUUUCAAUUAAGGUUUCAUCCACUAAUGAUUGUUGCCCAUAUCAAUUUUUAACUUCACCUAAAUUAAUAAUGAUUUUCUAACUCUAUUAUACCUUCCACAUUUAUUUGCAGGAAUACUUUUGCAAAGAACUUUCUCUUAUCUACUAGGGUUAUUUAGUAACCCUCAAAUACAGUUUGUACACAAUAGUUGCCUAAUUCUUUCUUUUUAAAUACAAAUUUUCAAAGGAGAAAUUUUGCCCUAGUUACUUCCCAUGGGGUCCAAUGAGGGUUUUGUUGGUUUGGUCUUUUAUUUUCUCUUUCUCAUAUCAAUAUGAAUUAAUUUUUAAAAUAUAUUAAAUAUGUUUCAAUCAACUGUAUUAUUUUAUUUUCUGUUCAAAUUGCCCCAUCUUUGGCCAACAAGAGUGCCUUCAUGUUGGCUUCUGUAUCCUUCUAAUAUGACCCAUCUCUCUUUACAUUGUGGCAUAAUAAAAUGUCCCAGGCUCAUCUUGUGUAUUUCUUGUCCCAGAUUUGAAAUCAGCAGUUCCUCCAAAGAGCCUUGGUUCCAAUUAAUGGGAAAGGUAUUUAGAGACCACACUCUGGGUACUUGCUGUGCUCACUGCUAUUUGGAUGUCAUUGCUUCCAAGCCUUUUCAGUGGACAAAGGAGGAAAUGUGUAUUCUGUUUUUUUUUUUAAAGAUUGGCACCUGAGCAAACAUCUGUUGCCAAUCUUCUUUUUUUUUUUUUUCCCUCCUUUCCUCCUCUUCUCCCAAAGCGCCCCCAGCACACAGUUGCACAUUCCAGCCAUGAAUGCCUCUGGUUGUGCCACAUGGGAUGCUGCCUCAGCAUGGCCUGAUGAGCGGUGCCAUGUCCAUGCCCAGGACCUGAACUGGCAAAACCCCAGGCCACCAAAGCAGAGCGUGAACUCAACCAUUCAGCCACAGGGCUGGCCCCAGAAAUGUGUGUGUGAGAGAGAGAGAGAGAGAGGGAGAGA
Long non-coding RNA from Equus asinus (donkey), 6223 nucleotides. The record is from Ensembl. Lineage: Eukaryota; Metazoa; Chordata; Mammalia; Perissodactyla; Equidae.